RNAcentral lists this unclassified non-coding RNA (87 nucleotides) under Rhodotorula toruloides. Lineage: Eukaryota; Fungi; Basidiomycota; Microbotryomycetes; Sporidiobolales; Sporidiobolaceae. The record is from RNAcentral.
GCGCACGAACAGCGGCUUCAUCGCCCUUCCCUCCUCCCGACUUCCUCCUCCCGCUCGUCUAGCCGUUCAACUCGGCUAGCAGGCUUG